RNAcentral lists this ribosomal RNA (497 nucleotides) under uncultured bacterium. RNAcentral describes it as "partial 16S ribosomal RNA". It matches the Rfam family "Bacterial small subunit ribosomal RNA", at positions 28 to 507 of the family's 1533-position model. The record is from RNAcentral.
GAUGAACGCUGGCGGCGUGCCUAAUACAUGCAAGUAGAGCGCUGAAGGAAGGAGCUUGCUCUUUCCGGAUGAGUUGCGAACGGGUGAGUAACGCGUAGGUAACCUGCCUGGUAGCGGGGGAUAACUAUUGGAAACGAUAGCUAAUACCGCAUAACAGUAGAUGUUGCAUGAUAUCUACUUAAAAGGUGCAAUUGCACCACUACCAGAUGGACCUGCGUUGUAUUAGCUAGUUGGUGAGGUAACGGCUCACCAAGGCGACGAUACAUAGCCGACCUGAGAGGGUGAUCGGCCACACUGGGACUGAGACACGGCCCAGACUCCUACGGGAGGCAGCAGUAGGGAAUCUUCGGCAAUGGACGGAAGUCUGACCGAGCAACGCCGCGUGAGUGAAGAAGGUUUUCGGAUCGUAAAGCUCGGUUGUAAGAGAAGAACGAGUGUGAGAGUGGAAAGUUCACACUGUGACGGUAUCUUACCAGAAAGGGACGGCUAACUACGUG